RNA transcript from Triticum dicoccoides, 3310 nucleotides. RefSeq lists it as uncharacterized. The record is from RefSeq and is a predicted model, not a curated record. Lineage: Eukaryota; Viridiplantae; Streptophyta; Magnoliopsida; Poales; Poaceae. The transcript is spliced from 3 exons.
CACAUAGCCUCCUCCGCCGCCCCCGUACGCCGCCCCCCUCCUCCGCCGACCUAGGCGACCCCCACCGGCGUCGAUGGCGCCCGGUGCGGCGAGGUCGACGCCGCCUCCCUCUCCAGCACCAGACCCCAGGAGGGAAGGGUUCAUCGUGCUGCGAGCGUGGCGACCACAAGCACUAGAGGAAGCCGUGCUUCUUGCCUCCUCUGUCGUCUCAGGGUCGUCGUCCCACCACCAGGCUGUGGCGCGCACAGACCCCCAUCACGGCAUCCUCCACUCCGACGGCAGGAGCGGUGCGUGCUCCUCACUAUGCUGGCACACCACGCUGCUCAGAUGUCAGAUCCGUCACGGUGGACUCGAUACAGCCUUGCUCCAGAUGUUUUUGGUUUCUUACAAUUUUGUUGGCUGCUCGGAGGGGACGAGGCUGUUAGACUUUUUGGUAUGAGGCAACUGGGCAAGAAGGAAGUAGAAUGAGGCUGCACCCCUUGAAAGUAGAAGGAAUCCUCUGCCCUAAGAAAGAACAUGGAAAGAGCACUCUUGGGAAAAAGAAGUAAACUACAAUCUUGCAAAUGAACAAAGAAACAGAACCUUGCUCACAAAAUUUCGCGUGAGUGGUAACAUUUCUCUUCACACGUAUAAUCUGAUUUUCAACACUUCAAUUAGAAACUGCACGAUUGGAGACACUGAGUCAUCACAUUGGCUAAUACAAGUGAUUUUUUUUUCUCUAGAAUACGCACAAGCAUGUGUAUCAUAUGUUAAAUUGUUAAUAGAAGAAAGAGGUGGAGAGCCCCAUCCACGUUUUUACAUCCACGGCCUUAGGCCCAAGGUUCACCACACGGAUUACUCACGAACUACCCGCCCCGCCUAUACAACCUAGCGAACAGCCCCGAGACCUCUCCACGCAAGAGUCCCGCUACAUGCCAUGCUAAUACAAGUGAUUUAUUUGAGAGGAACACAAGUGACCUUUACCUUAGUUAUGCCAGCUCUAUUUUCUUUCAGAAAAUCCUUUUUAUGGAUUGAUGGUGGGACUUGGGAGCCACAUAUACAUGCGUGGAGGCUUCUCUCUUUGCAUAAUUUUGUUCUAGAUGCUUAUACUUUUUUCCUCUUAACUGGGGGCUGUUUCAAAAAGGAAGCACCUCAUGUGUAAAAAUUGGCUGACCUGCCGUUUACUAUUUACCAUUUUCUAUACAGCCUGAAUGUACUGGAAGGAACAACAUUUGUGAGUUUAUAAUCAGCUGUAGUAAUCUUGCUAUAGAUAUAUACACACUGAAAGUCUGAAAACAUGCUAGUAAAAGCUACUUGCUUUGAAAGCAGCAUUAUGGUUUAUAUGCAGUCAGAAUGUAAAUAUUCAAUAUUGCUAGAUGAACCAUGCUCUCAUUCAGACAAUGGAGUGGGACUGCAAUGCCAUUGAAUUGAGUGUAAAUAUUCAAUUCUUUUAUUUAAAUUGUCAGUGAGAGGGAGAGACAGAGAGUUUGUUUCUGUAACACUAACACCACUUAGUUUGUUGAAAUACUUUCCUAGAGCGAUGUAAGUUCACAUAGGUGCCAUAAUCCUUGCUUAAACUUUCAUACUCUAGAAUACAAAAUAAUAUUUGUAUGCUUUUGCAGUUUGCACUAUAAGUGUUAUUUCCAGGAUAAAAAAUUCUUCUACAACCAAACACGACUAAUAUAUCUCUGAUGUAAUCGAUAUAGAUUUGUAGCUUGUAUCAUUUACGUAUGGUAUCCAUUUUUUAAUUUUAUAUGUAUAUAGGUUGUUCAUUAACUGGUUGUUGCGCAAAUUUGGGUAUGGGCUGCUGCAUUCUGUCGAGUUAAGAUUGACCAAGUCUAGCUGAGUAGUAGACUAAAGAAAUUAUAUUUACAAUAUUGCAUUCUUUCAACUAAAAGGAGAAGUUUACUCAGUCAAAUGCUCACUCAUGCUAAUUUGGAGGCUUAAAAACUCUAUGACUCCUCUAACAAUUAGAACGCUUACGAAGAGAAUAUGUAGAUAGAUGUAUAUGCGGAAGGACAUUCAAGGAAUCUUGUGUCAUGCUAAGAUCUAUGUUUAGACAUAUCAUGCUUCUAUUUUUAUGAUCCAAAGGAGGAGAGACAUGAACAAUUAUUUACAAAAGCUUAGCAGUAUAUAUUGAACUGACAUGGAUACAUGUUUCAGUAUCAGGCCGAUACAGAUACGUAAAUUUGUCAUUUUAAUAAAAGCGCCAAUACGGGCACACAUUUUUCAGCUUGUUUUAUGCUAAUACAGCUUGAUCCAUUGCGAUCUCACUUAAUGCAUUAAGAGGACCAGAGGAGCCAUCUGGAGGAGAGGAUCAGAGGAGAUGAGAUUAUGAGAAGAGAAACAAGAAGGCAGAAGAGGAAGUGAGGUUAGCUAAGGUGGUUGGCGGCUGAAUGGCUCGGUGUACAUACCUUGGUGGUUGUGCUGACCUCAACCAUAUAGCUGCCGCUAAGGAUCUAAACAUUCUAGUAUUUUACACGAAUUUGUGAAGUUCAACUUCUGAGUGUCGCGACUCAUGACUAAACAUUCAAGUUGUUAGCAUAGCAAAACUCAAUAUGUCAAAAUGAAACUACUCUUGCUUACUUGAUCAUUUCGAGUAUGAAUAUGAAACAAUGGUUAUUUAUGUCAUGUUUAUACAUAUCUUGAACUGUACUGGAAGGUAUCAAUGUUUGUGAAUUCAUACUCAGCAGCAAUAAUAUUGCUAUAGAUACACAGGGGAAGUUUGAAAACAUGCAGUAGAAAUACAUGGCAACUACCAUAUGUAGCUGUAUGCUACUUGCUUUGAAAACAUCACUAUGAUUUGCUUCUUUGCCUGCCAAACUAUUAUUAUGCCAGUAUGUAUUUUCUAUGUGAUAUUAUGUCCAUUUUUUUGUGCUGCAGUAUAGAUCAUUUAACAAAGUUAUUACCUUAUAGCAGUUGUACCAUCUUAUCUGUUCAGGUUGGCAUCACCACUAGAAGAUCUUCAUAGUAACAACACAAUCAAGUGAGGCGAGGUUAGUCUGAUCUUCGGAGCAUUGCAAGUUUGGUGACUCUUCUGCUGGAGACAUGUGGCCCUCUUCGAGUAAUGCAGAUUCACAGGAUAGUGCUGAGAAUGGUAUUCAAAAGACAUCCCAUGAAUAUGGUAAUGUACUAAUGUCAUCCAACAAACGGCUGAGCAGAAAAUGUGAUAAUGCCAUUGUCUUAUUGGACAUGGUUGUAGCCAUGAGUCAAGCUCAAACAGUUGGUGUAACUUAGUUGUAAAUUAUGUUAAUUGAUGUGGUUGGAUGCUACUGAACAAAUGUAUGUUGAAAUGUUGAAAUUUUAGUAUGAAAGUGUUUGGGGUGCUAUU